CAAUGCAGCAAAGCAUCUUAUACACAGUGGUUGAUAGACAGUUGCGAUAGCCAAUCAGAUCACAAGUUGUUUUUCAGCAAGGCCUUCUAGCUGGCCUAAGGCAGAUAUAUAUUGUUAUGCUAUGAACUAGGUAACAUUAGAACUCCAUUACCCAGCAUGCCACAGUAGUGAAGAGCAUGCCAGGAGCCCAGUUUAGGUUGUUGAUUGCACACAUGCCGGCAGCUGGAUGUUAUUGAUGAGCAUGCUGUGGCGUAAACUUUUAAGAACUCAGCCAACACGCCUCGUCUGCAUCUUUUAUGAUUAGGCAAGACAACACAAAUAUUUGCAAUUUUAAGAAGGAUAUUUAAUUUAAAGAGAAACUACAUCUUGUGAGACCAUGUCGGCCAACCCUGGAAGCUCGAAUGGGUUCUACAAACUGACGUUUCUACAUGGCAGAUGUGAUUGAGGCCCAUCGGGACGCGCUGCUGUCGGACACAAAGCUCCCUGUGCCAUCGAAUACCUCUGGCCGGCUGAUAUCCUGCCCCUGGACCCGGUGGGACUUACGUGGAAUUGAGCAUGGCACACUCCUGGAAGAGAAAACCAUCUUCAUCCAGUUUGUACUGAACGUCUCCCAAACGGGUGAUUCUGUCUCUGAGGUCGUAACGAAGAGGCGUCAACCGACCGCUGUUUCCAGGAUUCAGCAAAUGUA
Long non-coding RNA from Entelurus aequoreus (snake pipefish), 688 nucleotides. RefSeq lists it as uncharacterized. The transcript is spliced from 3 exons. NCBI's taxonomy places the organism in Eukaryota, Metazoa, Chordata, Actinopteri, Syngnathiformes, Syngnathidae. The record is from RefSeq and is a predicted model, not a curated record.